GACGAACGCUGGCGGCGUGCCUAUGCAUGCAAGUCGAGCGGGCUACAAUCUUCGGAUUGUAGUUUAGCGGCGAACGGGUGAGUAACACGUAGGUAAUCUACCCUUCAGAGGAGGACAACCUCAGGAAACUGAGGCUAAACCUCCAUGUGUUCAUUAUCAGGAAUGAUAAUGAAGAAAGAGUUACCGUAGAGGUAGCUGCUGAAGGAUGAGCCUGCGGCCCAUCAGGUAGUUGGUGAGGUAACGGCUCACCAAGCCGAAGACGGGUAACCGGUCUGAGAGGAUGUCCGGUCACACUGGGACUGAGACACGGCCCAGACUCCUACGGGGGGCAGCAGCAGGGAAUCUUGGGCAAUGGGCAAAAGCCUGACCCAGCGACGCCGCGUGGAGGAAGAAGUCCUUCGGGGCGUAAACUCCUGGACUGGGGGACGAGGAAGGACGGUACCCCAGUAGAAAGGGACGGCUAACUACGUGCCAGCAGCCGCGGUAAAACGUAGGUCCCGAGCGUUGUUCGGAUUCACUGGGUGUAAAGGGCGCGUAGGUGGUUGCCUGUGUCUCAUGUGAAAACUCAGGGCUCAACUCUGAGAUUGCGUGGGAAACUAGGCAGCUAGAGGACGGUAGAGGGGAGUGGAAUUCCCGGUGUAGCGGUAAAAUGCGUAGAUAUCGGGAGGAACACCGGUGGCGAAGGCGGCUCUCUGGGCCGAUCCUGACGCUGAGGCGCGAAAGCUAGGGGAGCGAACC
This 738-nucleotide ribosomal RNA is filed under the name Coprothermobacter sp. enrichment culture. RNAcentral describes it as "bacterial SSU rRNA". It matches the Rfam family "Bacterial small subunit ribosomal RNA", at positions 28 to 774 of the family's 1533-position model. Lineage: Bacteria; Pseudomonadati; Coprothermobacterota; Coprothermobacteria; Coprothermobacterales; Coprothermobacteraceae. The record is from RNAcentral.